Molecule: long non-coding RNA, 1085 nt
Organism: Solea solea (common sole)
Lineage: Eukaryota; Metazoa; Chordata; Actinopteri; Pleuronectiformes; Soleidae
Exons: 3
Source: RefSeq, a predicted model, not a curated record
AUUAGUGACGCCACACACCUGCUCGUCUUCACGCAGGUGUUUCUCAAGCAGCUGAUUGCUUCCUCCUCCUCCUCUUCUUAUUAAAUCUCCAGCCAACAGUUCCGUGAUGUUACUUUGAAGAGAAGCUGCACGAGCCGUGGAAUGAAAAAAAAAAAAAGACACGAAAAAAGUGUCGCUGCUUAACUACUGAAACUGUUCCGGGAGGAGGGAACUUGUGGCGGUAAUGCACCAACCGCCAUGAAACCUCAAAAAAGGAGGGAACUUUAAAAUAAAGAAGAGGAAAAAAAAAGAGAAAACUACCGUGGCGUGACGUCAGACGCCGAAAAGGUGGUCGUGCAUCAGCUCCUGUAUAGAAACGCAGCAUGGCUGCUCCAGGAUGGCGUGUUCGACCUGGUCCAGAUUGGUGGCCCGUGCAGAAUGCCAAGAAUGUGCUACUCCAGAAACAAGCGUUGAAAGGAAGAGAAAGCCCAUCAAAUAUUACAACAGAUGCAAAGGUGUCGAUAACCUUGAUCAGGUUGUUGGCACCAACCCCUGCAGAAGCAGAAUGAGUGGCCACUGGCCCUUUUCACAACCUGGUUGACAUUUUACUGUACAACACCUUUAUCCUGUCGUGGGAGAGAUGCUGGUGACCCCCCAACACAUCGAGAGGAGAGGGCGCCUUCCCUGCUCAUCAGCUACUGCAGGAAUGGUUGCAUAUCUGCAGGGUGCUGCUGCUGCUGCAGGCCCUUUUCUCAUGAGUAAAUGUGAGGACAGGAAGUGGUGCCAUUUUUGUACUGAAAGAAAGACCAGAGUUGGCAGCACCUGCUGCAAAUGUGGGGAGUUUACAUGCAAAGACCACAGUCUGUCCAUUUGAAGUCUCUGCUCCACCUGAGCUGGACUCUCUCUCUCACAGACACAUGCUUACUCACUCACUCACCAUCUGCCAUCAGCCAUCUGUAUCUUUUGCCCUUUUCCCAACUUCAACAACACACCUAACUGCCCCAUGUUUCAUAUUCAAUUGUUCAUACUUCAGUGUUCAUCAUUUAAUGUUCAUCUCUGCAAAAUAAAUGUUUUUUUCUGGUUCAAACUAUUCAUUUAUUUGUUGU